CCGAGUUGUAAUUUGUAGAGGAUGCUUUUGGUGAGGUGCCUUCCGAGUUCCCUGGAACGGGACGCCAUAGAGGGUGAGAGCCCCGUACGGUUGGAUACCAAACCUCUGUAUAGCUCCUUCAACGAGUCGAGUAGUUUGGGAAUGCUGCUCUAAAUGGGAGGUAUAUCUCUUCUAAAGCUAAAUAUAGGCUAGAGACCGAUAGCGCACAAGUAGAGUGAUCGAAAGAUGAAAAGCACUUUGAAAAGAGAGUUAAACAGCACGUGAAAUUGUUGAAAGGGAAGCGCCUAUGACCAGACUUGUUUCUGGCAGUUUCGUUAGCCUUCGGGCUGAUUUACUCUGUCCAGUACAGGCCAGCAUCAGUUUGCUGUCGGGGAGAAAGGCUCUGGGAACGUAGCUCCCCCCUUCUGGGGGGAGUGUUAUAGCCCUCUGCAUAAUACCCUUCGGCAGACUGAGGACCGCGCUUCGGCAAGGAUGCUGGCGUAAUGGUCAUCAGCGACCCGUCUUGAAACACGGACCAAGGAGUCAACCUUAUGUGCGAGUGUUUGGGUGUAAAACCCCAGCGCGUAAUGAAAGUGAACGUAGGUGAGAGCUUCGGCGCAUCAUCGACCGAUUCUGAUGUUUUCGGAUGGAUUUGAGUAAGAGCACACAGGGUUGGACCCGAAAGAAGGUGAACUAUGCUUGUAUAGGGUGAAGCCAGAGGAAACUCUGGUGGAGGCUCGCAGCGGUUCUGACGUGCAAAUCGAUCGUCAAAUAUGAGCAUGGGGGCGAAAGACUAAUCGAACCUUCUAGUAGCUGGUUCCAGCCGAAGUUUCCCUCAGGAUAGCAGUGUUGAAUUUUCUUCAGUUUUAUGAGGUAAAGCGAAUGAUUAGGGACUCGGGGGCGCUAUAUUGCCUUCAUCCA
Molecule: ribosomal RNA, 900 nt
Filed under: Ceratocystis fimbriata
Lineage: Eukaryota; Fungi; Ascomycota; Sordariomycetes; Microascales; Ceratocystidaceae
Description: LSU rRNA
Rfam family: Eukaryotic large subunit ribosomal RNA
Source: RNAcentral